GGAUGUGAGGGCAUGCUGGUUGUAACAUCUGUCACCCGCUGGUUGCCAGGGUUAGUUCAGCUGAUGGGUGUCCCCUUCCUCCGUCAUUACUCCAUGUAAUGUCCCUCCAAAGCUGCAUGCUUAGUGGAAAAGGAGACCAUCUCAGAUAGAAGAAGUAUACUAUUUUUCAGUCAAGGUUAUCUAAUCUAUCUGUCUUGUGGGGUCAUUUUGUUGAUGCAUCCACAAGGAUGACAACCUAGAAGGCAAAGGCUGAUUACUGUAAAUGAAUAUAAUUGAGUGUGUGGCAAGACCUUUAGU
RNAcentral lists this small nuclear RNA (297 nucleotides) under Salvator merianae (Argentine black and white tegu). RNAcentral describes it as "7SK RNA (ENSSMRG00000012346.1)". The stretch from base 1 to 185 matches the Rfam family "7SK RNA". Rfam says of the family: 7SK was discovered as an abundant small nuclear RNA in the mid-70s but a possible function has only recently been suggested. Two independent studies have found that 7SK RNA binds the CDK9/cyclin T complex (known as elongation factor P-TEFb). The record is from RNAcentral. Lineage: Eukaryota; Metazoa; Chordata; Lepidosauria; Squamata; Teiidae.